This 253-nucleotide ribosomal RNA is filed under the name uncultured bacterium. RNAcentral's name for it is "partial 16S ribosomal RNA". It matches the Rfam family "Bacterial small subunit ribosomal RNA", at positions 524 to 776 of the family's 1533-position model. The record is from RNAcentral.
UACGGGGGGGGCAAGCGUUGUUCGGAAUUACUGGGCGUAAAGGGCUCGUAGGCGGCCAACUAAGUCAGACGUGAAGUCCCUCGGCUUAACCGGGGAACUGCGUCUGAUACUGGAUGGCUAGAGUUUGGGAGAGGGAUGCGGAAUUCCAGGUGUAGCGGUGAAAUGCGUAGAUAUCUGGAGGAACACCGGUGGCGAAGGCGGCAUCCUGGACCAACACUGACGCUGAGGAGCGAAAGCCAGGGGAGCAAACGGG